AGAGUUUGAUCCUGGCUCAGAUUGAACGCUGGCGGCAGGCUUAACACAUGCAAGUCGAGCGGUAGCACAAGGGAGCUUGCUCCCUGGGUGACGAGCGGCGGACGGGUGAGUAAUGUCUGGGAAACUGCCUGAUGGAGGGGGAUAACUACUGGAAACGGUAGCUAAUACCGCAUAACGUCGCAAGACCAAAGAGGGGGACCUUCGGGCCUCUUGACAUCAGAUGUGCCCAGAUGGGAUUAGCUAGUAGGUGGGGUAAUGGCUCACCUAGGCGACGAUCCCUAGCUGGUCUGAGAGGAUGACCAGCCACACUGGAACUGAGACACGGUCCAGACUCCUACGGGAGGCAGCAGUGGGGAAUAUUUCACAAUGGGCGCAAGCCUGAUGCAGCCAUGCCGCGUGUGUGAAGAAGGCCUUCGGGUUGUAAAGCACUUUCAGCGAGGAGGAAGGUGGUGAGCUUAAUACGCUCAUCAAUUGACGUUACUCGCAGAAGAAGCACCGGCUAACUCCGUGCCAGCAGCCGCGGUAAUACGGAGGGUGCAAGCGUUAAUCGGAAUUACUGGGCGUAAAGCGCACGCAGGCGGUUUGUUAAGUCAGAUGUGAAAUCCCCGGGCUCAACCUGGGAACUGCAUUUGAAACUGGCAAGCUAGAGUCUCGUAGAGGGGGGUAGAAUUC
Molecule: ribosomal RNA, 672 nt
Filed under: uncultured bacterium
Lineage: Bacteria
Description: bacterial SSU rRNA
Rfam family: Bacterial small subunit ribosomal RNA
Source: RNAcentral